AUACGGAGGGUGCGAGCGUUAAUCGGAAUUACUGGGCGUAAAGGGUGCGUAGGCGGCUUGAUAAGUCGGAUGUGAAAGCCCCGGGCUUAACCUGGGAAUUGCAUUCGAUACUGUCAGGCUAGAGUAUGUCAGAGGUUGGCGGAAUUCCUGGUGUAGCGGUGAAAUGCGUAGAUAUCAGGAGGAACACCAGUGGCGAAGACGGCUAACUGGGGCAAUACUGACGCUGAGGCACGAAAGCGUGGGGAGCAAACAGGAUUAGAAACCCCAGUAGUCC
This 274-nucleotide ribosomal RNA is filed under the name uncultured bacterium. Its description in RNAcentral is "partial 16S ribosomal RNA". It matches the Rfam family "Bacterial small subunit ribosomal RNA", at positions 523 to 796 of the family's 1533-position model. The record is from RNAcentral.